GGAUACGGUAGCUGAAGAGAGCCGUCCGUUGACAGUUCACUAUGGACGCUGUCAUGGAGUCGCUCUCUUCAGACUCCUAGAU
Molecule: microRNA precursor, 82 nt
Filed under: Haemonchus contortus (barber pole worm)
Lineage: Eukaryota; Metazoa; Nematoda; Chromadorea; Rhabditida; Trichostrongylidae
Also listed under: 1 other name
Description: mir-46/mir-47/mir-281 microRNA precursor family
Rfam family: mir-46/mir-47/mir-281 microRNA precursor family
About the family: The hairpin precursors (represented here) are predicted based on base pairing and cross-species conservation -- their extents are not known.
Source: Rfam by way of RNAcentral